UGGGGAAUAUUGGACAAUGGACGAAAGUCUGAUCCAGCAAUACCGCGUGAGUGAUGAAGGCCUUAGGGUUGUAAAGCUCUUUCGGUAGGGAUGAAAAUGACAGUACCUACAGAAGAAGCACCGGCUAACUCCGUGCCAGCAGCCGCGGUAAUACGGAGGGUGCUAGCGUUGUUCGGAAUUACUGGGCGUAAAGAGCGCGUAGGCGGUCUUUAAAGUUGGGAGUGAAAUCCCGGGGCUUAACCCCGGAACUGCUCUCAAAACUUAAAGGCUAGAGAACGAUAGAGGAUGGUAGAAUUCCUAGUGUAGAAGUGAAAUUCUCAGAUAUUAGGAGGAAUACCGGCGGCGAAGGCGGCCAUCUGGGUCGUUUCUGACGCUGAGGCGCGAAAGCGUGGGGAGCAAACAGG
RNAcentral lists this ribosomal RNA (404 nucleotides) under uncultured bacterium. RNAcentral's name for it is "bacterial SSU rRNA". It matches the Rfam family "Bacterial small subunit ribosomal RNA", at positions 355 to 776 of the family's 1533-position model. The record is from RNAcentral.